Molecule: transfer RNA, 83 nt
Filed under: Chromobacterium vaccinii
Lineage: Bacteria; Pseudomonadati; Pseudomonadota; Betaproteobacteria; Neisseriales; Chromobacteriaceae
Description: tRNA-Arg(gcg)
Source: RNAcentral
CGGCGGCCCAGACCGGCGAUUUCCGCCUUUGCGACAGCCGGGGCGUCAGCUAUGCGCUGUCGUUCAAUCUGCAGGCCACCGGC